RNAcentral lists this transfer RNA (71 nucleotides) under Cosmoscarta exultans. RNAcentral describes it as "tRNA-Gln". Lineage: Eukaryota; Metazoa; Arthropoda; Insecta; Hemiptera; Cercopidae. The record is from RNAcentral.
UAUACUAAAGUGUUUUGAUGCACUUUAAUUUUUGAAGUUAAAAGAUUUAGUUUAAUUCUAAAUAGUAUAAU